This 322-nucleotide ribosomal RNA is filed under the name uncultured eukaryote. Its description in RNAcentral is "partial 18S ribosomal RNA". It matches the Rfam family "Eukaryotic small subunit ribosomal RNA", at positions 1470 to 1796 of the family's 1831-position model. The record is from RNAcentral.
CCCUUAGAUGUUCUGGGCCGCACGCGUGCUACACUGAGUGGAUCAGCGGGUCAGGUUGCGCGAAAGUGUUUCCUAAUCUUGAAAUCCGCUCGUGAUGGGGAUUGACGGUUGCAAUUUUCCGUCAUGAACGAGGAAUACCUUGUAAGCGCGGGUCAUCAUCCCGCGCUGAAUACGUCCCUGCCCUUUGUACACACCGCCCGUCGCUCCUACCGAUUGAGUGGUCCGGUGAGGCUUUGGGAUCUGAGCGGAAAGAGCGUUUCGCUGUUUCUGCUCGGAAAACUCAGUCGAACCUUAUCAUUUUGAGGAAGGAGAAGUCGUAACA